RNAcentral lists this non-coding RNA (290 nucleotides) under Amborella trichopoda. RNAcentral's name for it is "Bacterial small subunit ribosomal RNA". It matches the Rfam family "Bacterial small subunit ribosomal RNA", at positions 404 to 639 of the family's 1533-position model. The record is from Rfam by way of RNAcentral. Lineage: Eukaryota; Viridiplantae; Streptophyta; Magnoliopsida; Amborellales; Amborellaceae.
GGGCAAGAGGGCUUGACACUAGCAGACAGCUAAGGAGGGCAAAGUGCAAGUCGUGAACUUCUUUUCCUGGAGAAGAAGCAAUGACGGUAUCUGGGGAAUAAGCAUCGGCUAACUCUGUGCCAGUAGCUGCGGUGAGACAGAGGAUGCAAGCAGUAUCCGAAAUGAUUGGGCGUAAAGUGUGGCAUGCAAGUAGCUAAGGAAGCUUCUUUUCCAAGUUGCUUAUCCAGUGGCCUUUCAAAUGGCUUAGGAUUUCACUCUGAUUCCUUUGCUCUGCCAUGAAAAUCUUCUUU